GGUGUGUGGAAGUCAGAGACAACUGACUUGCAGCAGUUGGUCCUGGGAUCAACCCAGGCCAUCAGCCUUGGUGGCAAGUGUCUUUACCCACUGAGACAUCUCUCCAUGCCCACCUUCUUUGCUAUUUAGCCCAGACUGGCCUGGAACUCAUUAAAUAGCUCCAUCUGGCUUCAUACUUUGGACAGUCCUCCCACCUCUGCCUCCUGAUUGUGGGCACAUGCCACCAUGCCUGGCCUGUCUCCCGGCCUUUGGAUCUCUUUUGGAUACAGUCUUCACUUCUCCUAAGGUCUCCUGUACCUGGCUUGUCUUGGUCACUCUGACCACAAGUCUUACUAAUAAAACCACAAACCACUGGAACUGAGAGCCAUCACUCAGCUGAAAACAACUUGUGAUACAGAUAAGAAGACUGAGGCCCAGACAGGACCAGUGUCGCCCAUGAUCACACUGCAAGUCUCAGACUCCAUGCCUUUGACUCCUUUGUUCUCUGUGCCGUAUCAAAGAAGACAGUUUGGCUCAGAUCACGUUCUGGAAGCAUGGGGUUGAAAUGACCUGGAGAGUUCAGAAGACUCCAGCUGCCUACCAGCAUCUAAGCCGGAAAUUUCAGAACCAAAGUGACCCUUGUGCCUUGUUCCUGGCUACCCCAACCAGCAGGCUGUAUAAACCCAUCCAAAACCACUGUUUAAAAGCUGGA
Molecule: long non-coding RNA, 691 nt
Organism: Peromyscus leucopus (white-footed mouse)
Lineage: Eukaryota; Metazoa; Chordata; Mammalia; Rodentia; Cricetidae
Exons: 3
Source: RefSeq, a predicted model, not a curated record